This 3324-nucleotide unclassified non-coding RNA is filed under the name Hevea brasiliensis (rubber tree). The record is from RNAcentral. Lineage: Eukaryota; Viridiplantae; Streptophyta; Magnoliopsida; Malpighiales; Euphorbiaceae.
AGAGAGAGAGAGAUAGAGAGAGAGUGAGAGAGAGCAAUGGAGGGCAAGGAAGAGGAUGUUAGACUAGGAGCAAACAAAUUCACAGAGAGACAACCCAUAGGGACAUCAGCCCAGACUGAUAAGGACUACAAGGAGCCACCACCUGCUCCCUUGUUUGAGCCAGGUGAGCUUAGCUCAUGGUCCUUCUACAGGGCUGGGAUUGCCGAGUUCAUCGCUACUUUCUUGUUCCUCUACAUCACUGUCUUGACUGUCAUGGGUUUCUCCAAGCCAAAUAACAAGUGCACCACAGUGGGUACCCAAGGUAUUGCUUGGGCCUUUGGUGGUAUGAUCUUUGCCCUUGUCUACUGCACUGCUGGUAUCUCAGGUAAAUCUUUAGUUUUGUUUCACAUCUGCUCUGGUUCCUCCUUCCCCCAUCAGUUUUGCUGUUUAAUUUUGAGCUAAAACUUUUGUGGGUAAAAGGAUUUGCAUCUUUGUGUGAAAAUUAGCCAUCUUUUUUCUUUUACUGGUUAUUUUCUUACGAGAGCUUUCUUUAUAAAACCAAUUACUUCUUAUAAUAGUUUACACCACUCCAUCUACUAUGAUCAGGAACCUUACUAACCAGAUCUACAUGUUUGCUGCAACAACAGGUGGACAUAUCAACCCAGCAGUGACCUUUGGUCUGUUUCUGGCAAGGAAGCUCUCCUUGACAAGGGCUUUGUUCUACAUGAUCAUGCAAUGCCUUGGUGCCAUCUGUGGUGCUGGGGUGGUAAAAGGUUUUGAGGGAAACCGUGCAUAUGAGACUUUGGGUGGUGGAGCCAACGUUGUGGCCCAUGGCUACACUAAGGGUGAUGGUCUUGGUGCUGAGAUUGUUGGCACCUUUGUUCUUGUCUACACUGUCUUCUCUGCCACCGAUGCAAAGAGGAACGCCAGAGAUUCUCAUGUCCCUGUAUGUAUUCUUUUUUAUUCUCCUCUUAUAUUUGGCUUUUAUAAUUAUAUUCUGUGGCGGCUUGAUUCUUUGUGGUAUAUGUGUCUGAUAAUUUUAGUAUAAAUUAUGUGGUUAAAUGCAUUACUAGCAGAAAUUAUUCUUAGUUAUCUGAUUGCUUGAUUCUCCAAAUUCUAGGCUCUGCAACAUUUGUGUGAUUCUUAAUUGCUGAAGUAAACUCAGACAAUUGGUUUUUCACUCAUGGGUUAGUUAACUCUCGUAAACUUUGUAUGGGAAGUGGGUUACAGCCAGUAAUUUGCCAUUUUCUGCUCAUGAAGUUGAUGAUUUCAGCAGCAACCUUAUAAUUUUGCAUUUGCAUUGGUGAUGGUCGAGUAGUGAUUUUGGUGUAGUGACCUAUGCUUGCCAGGCUAGGAUGUUUGCAUUAUCUGUGGCAUAUAUAUAUAUUGAAUUUUUUAUACAAGAAAAUAUCCUACAUGAGUUGGAAGUGAGGCCUCGUCAUUAAUUAGGUGGUGUUGCCUUUGCUUCUUGCUUGUGCUCAGCUAGAAAUUCUUACGUGGGUUUUGGUUAAUCAUAAAACAUAGCAGACCAGGUGCAUGUGUACCUUGGCUAUCUCUAUUAGCUUCCCGUGCAUGACUUAAUGGAAAAUAUCUUGCCCAAAUUUGGUGUAUGUAUACCAACACUCGUAUGGAGUGACAUCUAUUUGUACACUGGGACUCACCCCAUGAUGGUUUUGGCAUACUUACAUCAUUUUUAGACAAGAAUGGCACAAAGUCAUCAAUCUAUUUAAUUUCCAUUUAUAAUUUGAACAAAAUUAAUGUUAUUUACUAAUUUUUUUCGAUGAUAUGAUGAUGGUAAAUGGUUGAUGGCUGCAUGUCUCUCAUUAUCAAAUGUGUAUAAAUCAGUUUACACUUUUCAUACAUGUUGUAUUUGGAAAACUAGAGGGCAAUGCAUGUUCUGCUUUUGUUCUGAGAGUGGAGUGUUAAUAUUUUUGGUUAAUUAUGACCGUGUGAGAUGGAAGUUGUGAGACAAUGUGCUUAAAUCCUUUCUCAUACUGAGGUAGCGAGAAUUCAUUGAAAUUUCAAAUUCUUCUUAAGCCCAUCUAAAAUUCAAACACAACAUCAAUGUGAAAAAAGGUUAUGAACUCAGUCCAAUGGUUUCUUGUACGAUGAUGUGUGGUGUUAUGAGUUUAAUUUGGUUCAGUUUUGACCUUUUGCUUUUCACUUAAGCAGUAUAUAUAGAGUUUUUAAAGAUUCUGAAAACAAGAGAUACACAAUUGCCAAACUGGUCAAAAUCAAAUGGAGGGAGCAGCUUUCUAUGUUUAAAAUUUUUCUUUAUGCAAUGUUGCCCUCAUAAGUUGUGUGAACAUUUGAUGCCCUUUCCUUGAGCAUGCCAUAGCUUGCCAAAUGUCUAGUCCAGUCAUGGACCAUAUAAGUGAUAACUAAUCUUGAGGUCACCUGAUAUGGGAUAGUUUAUGAUUGAACUAGGUUGGCAAUUUGGUCUUGCUCAUUGCUAGAAAAGGCAUUUUGUUGAUUGAUUAAUCUCCGGUGUUCCUUAAAUCUGAAUUGUGAAGCAAGUGCAAUAAUGUGGAAGCCAUGAUUGGACUUCUCUCACUAGAAAAUUCUCUGAUCAUUUUGCAGAUUUUGGCUCCUCUUCCUAUUGGGUUCGCAGUGUUCUUGGUUCAUUUGGCAACCAUCCCCAUCACUGGAACUGGCAUUAACCCAGCCAGGAGCCUUGGAGCUGCUAUCAUCUUCAACAAAGACCACGCAUGGGAUGACCAUUGGGUUUUCUGGGUUGGGCCCUUCAUUGGAGCUGCCCUUGCUGCUGUGUACCACCAGAUAGUCAUCAGAGCUAUCCCUUUCAAGGCCAGAGCUUAAUGUUUUUACCAUCUUAUUCAUCAGAGGCCGCCUUUGAGUCUUAUCAAACACUUCUCCCUUGGUGUUCUCCUCUUCAUUUCUUUUGUUGUGUAUUUUUGUUUCUAUCCCUCCAUGUGAAUCUGGUAUUUGGAGUGUUAUCACGAGUGUAAAUUAUCUAGUGUUGCUGUAUUAUUGUGAUACCCACUGAAUGCAGAAAGCCCUUUUAUCUUUAAUCUUUGCUUUUUCCUAAGCAAAUCUUGUCCCAUAUAAUAAUGUCUGCCAAGUGCCAACCGUAGAGAAUAAUGGGUCUGAUGAAGUGGACUCCCCAUCCACUGUUGGGUACUUCCCGCCUGUUCCAACUUCAAUUAGCCAUUUUGACUCUUGAGACUUGACGGUGGCCGUCCUUCGUUAAACCUAAUUGCUAAACGCCUUCACACCGUUAAUUAUAUUUUGGUGGAUGACCAUAUUUGUUCACAUUAAAAAUUAAAGCCUUUUGGAUAUUUUACCACUUAAUUCAUUUUAAUUUUGACAAAAUUAAUCAAUACUUAA